GACGAACGCUGGCGGCGUGCUUAACACAUGCAAGUCGAACGGUAAGGCCCUGCUUUUGUGGGUUGCUCUAGUGGCGAACUUGUGAGUAACACGUGAGUAACCUGCCCUUGAUUUUGGGAUAACUUCAUGAAACUGGGUCGAAUACCGGAUAGGAGCUUCUUCUGAAUUGUGACGUUUAUAAAGCUUCGGCGGUUUGGGAUGGAUUCGCGGCUUAUCAACGUGUUGGUGUGGUAGUGGCUUACCAGGGCGUUGACGGGUAGCCGGCCUGAGGGGGUGACCGGACACAUUAGGACUGAGAUACGGCCCGGACCAAUACGGGAGGGAGGAGUGGGGAAUAUUGCACAACGGACGGAAGCCUGAUGCAGCAAGGCCGCGUGGGGGAUGACGGGAUUCGGGUUGUAACCCGAUUUCGCCUGUGACGAAGAGUGAGUGACGGUACUGGAUAAGAAAGCCCCGGCUAAAUACGUG
RNAcentral lists this ribosomal RNA (468 nucleotides) under uncultured bacterium. RNAcentral describes it as "partial 16S ribosomal RNA". It matches the Rfam family "Bacterial small subunit ribosomal RNA", at positions 28 to 507 of the family's 1533-position model. The record is from RNAcentral.